ACGGGAGGCAGCAGUGGAGAAUCUUGCACAAUGGGGGAAACCCUGAUGCAGCAACGCCGCGUGAAGGAUGAAGGCCCUUGGGUCGUAAACUUCUGUUCUAAGGGAAGAUAAUGACGGUACCUUAGGAGCAAGUCCCGGCUAACUACGUGCCAGCAGCCGCGGUAAUACGUAGGGGGCGAGUGUUAUCCGGAAUUAUUGGGCGUAAAGAGUACGUAGGUGGUUUCCUAAGCAUGGGGUUUAAGGCAACGGCUUAACCAUUGUUCGCCCCAUGAACUGGGUUACUUGAGUGCUGGAGGGGAAAGCGGAAUUCCUAGUGUAGCGGUGAAAUGCGUAGAUAUUAGGAAGAACACCAGUGGCGAAGGCGGUUAGCUGGACAAUAACUGACGCUGAGGCGCGAAAGCGUGGGUAGCAAACAGGAUUAGAUACCCUGGUA
RNAcentral lists this ribosomal RNA (433 nucleotides) under uncultured Mogibacterium sp. RNAcentral's name for it is "partial 16S ribosomal RNA". It matches the Rfam family "Bacterial small subunit ribosomal RNA", at positions 341 to 792 of the family's 1533-position model. The record is from RNAcentral. Lineage: Bacteria; Bacillati; Bacillota; Clostridia; Peptostreptococcales; Anaerovoracaceae.